This is a non-coding RNA of Bos taurus (domestic cattle), 72 nucleotides long. The record is from Rfam. NCBI's taxonomy places the organism in Eukaryota, Metazoa, Chordata, Mammalia, Artiodactyla, Bovidae.
UCCCAGGCAGUCCAGUGGUUAGGACUCUACGCUUCCAAUGUAGGAGGCAUGGGUUCAAUCCUAGUUGGGGAA